Molecule: transfer RNA, 71 nt
Filed under: Bos taurus (domestic cattle)
Lineage: Eukaryota; Metazoa; Chordata; Mammalia; Artiodactyla; Bovidae
Also listed under: 3 other names
Rfam family: tRNA
About the family: Transfer RNA (tRNA) molecules are approximately 80 nucleotides in length. Their secondary structure includes four short double-helical elements and three loops (D, anti-codon, and T loops). Further hydrogen bonds mediate the characteristic L-shaped molecular structure. tRNAs have two regions of fundamental functional importance: the anti-codon, which is responsible for specific mRNA codon recognition, and the 3' end, to which the tRNAs corresponding amino acid is attached (by aminoacyl-tRNA synthetases). tRNAs cope with the degeneracy of the genetic code in two manners: having more than one tRNA (with a specific anti-codon) for a particular amino acid; and 'wobble' base-pairing, i.e. permitting non-standard base-pairing at the 3rd anti-codon position.
Source: Rfam by way of RNAcentral
UCCCUGGUGACUCAGUGGUAAAGAACCUGCCUGCAAAGCAGGAGAUACUGGUUCAAUCCCUGGGUUGGGAA